This 1090-nucleotide ribosomal RNA is filed under the name uncultured bacterium. RNAcentral describes it as "bacterial SSU rRNA". It matches the Rfam family "Bacterial small subunit ribosomal RNA", at positions 153 to 1272 of the family's 1533-position model. The record is from RNAcentral.
GAAAGGAUUGCUAAUACCGCAUGUGGUCAUUGGAUUUAGAAACCGAUGUCUAAAGGAGCAAUCCGCUUUGGGAGGGACCUGCGUCCCAUCAGCUAGUUGGUGAGGUAACGGCCCACCAAGGCGACGACGGGUAGGGGACCUGAGAGGGUGGCCCCCCACAAUGGAACUGAAAUACGGUCCAUACACCUACGGGUGGCAGCAGUAGGGAAUAUUGGGCAAUGGGCGAAAGCCUGACCCAGCAACGCCGCGUGUGUGAUGAAGGCCUUCGGGUCGUAAAGCACUUUUCUGGGAGAUGAGAAAGGACAGUAUCCCAGGAAUAAGUCUCGGCUAACUACGUGCCAGCAGCCGCGGUAAAACGUAGGAGGCGAGCGUUAUCCGGAUUCACUGGGCGUAAAGCGCGUGCAGGUGGCGCGGUAAGUUGGGCGUGAAAUCUCCCGGCUCAACUGGGAGAGGUCGUCCAAUACUACCGUGCUUGAGAGCAGAAGAGGAAGAUGGAAUUCCCGGUGUAGUGGUGAAAUGCGUAGAUAUCGGGAGGAACACCAGUGGCGAAGGCGAUCUUCUGGUCUGUUUCUGACACUCAGACGCGACAGCUAGGGUAGUAAACGGGAUUAGAGACCCCGGUAAUCCUAGCCGUAAACGAUGUGAACUUGGCGUUGGUGGGUUAAACUCCAUCAGUGCCGUAGCAAACGCGAUAAGUUCACCGCCUGGGGACUACGGCCGCAAGGUUAAAACUCAAAGGAAUUGACGGGGGCCCGCACAAGCAGCGGAGCGUGUGGUUUAAUUCGAUGCUACACGAAGAACCUUACCCAGGCUUGACAUAUAGGUGGUAGAGAUCCGAAAGGUGACCGACCCGCAAGGGAGCCUGUACAGGUGUUGCAUGGCUGUCGUCAGCUCGUGUCGUGAGAUGUUCGGUUAAGUCCGCUAACGAGCGCAACCCUCGCUGCGUGUUACAAGUGUCACGCAGGACCGCCGGUAUUAAGCCGGAGGAAGGUGGGGAUGACGUCAAGUCAGCAUGGCCUUUAUGCCUGGGGCUACACACACGCUACAAUGGGCAGUACAAUGGGUUGCUAAGCCGCGAGGUGGAGCCAAU